CCUGGCGGCUUUAGCGCGGUGGUCCCACACCUGACCCCAUGCCGAACUCAGAAGUGAAACGCCGUAGCGCCGAUGGUAGUGUGGGGUCUCCCCAUGUGAGAGUAGGGAACUGCCAGGC
Molecule: ribosomal RNA, 118 nt
Filed under: Enterobacter hormaechei
Lineage: Bacteria; Pseudomonadati; Pseudomonadota; Gammaproteobacteria; Enterobacterales; Enterobacteriaceae
Source: RNAcentral